AACGAACGCUGGCGGCAUGCCUAACACAUGCAAGUCGAACGAGACCUUCGGGUCUUGUGUCGCACGGGUGCGUACCGCGUGGGAACUUGCCCUUAGGUACGGAAUAACUCUCCGAAUGGGGUGCUAUUACCGGAUAAUGUCUUCGGACCAAAGAUCUAUCGCAUUUGGUUGGGCCGGCGUUGGAUUAGCUAUUUGGUAGGGUAAAAGCCUGCUAAGGCGCUGAUUCAUAGCUGGUUGGCGAGGAUGAUCAGCCACGCUGGGACGGAGAGACGGCACAGAAUCCUACGGGAUGGGGGAGUGGAUAGUAUAGAACAAGAGCGGAAGGCCUGAACGAGCAGUGCCGGGUAAGGGAUGAAGGCCGUAGGGAUGUAAAGCUCUUUUACCCGGGAAGGUACUGACAGUACCGGGAGAAUAAGCGCCGGCUAACUCCGUG
Molecule: ribosomal RNA, 433 nt
Filed under: uncultured bacterium
Lineage: Bacteria
Description: partial 16S ribosomal RNA
Rfam family: Bacterial small subunit ribosomal RNA
Source: RNAcentral